Cavia porcellus (domestic guinea pig) is the source of this 403-nucleotide long non-coding RNA. RefSeq lists it as uncharacterized. Lineage: Eukaryota; Metazoa; Chordata; Mammalia; Rodentia; Caviidae. The record is from RefSeq and is a predicted model, not a curated record. The transcript has 2 exons.
CACUGCAGAUGAACCACACGCAGCCAAGGCAGCUCCCGGGAUUCCGAGGGGCUGCGGGUUCCGGAGAAAGCCUGAUUUCCAUCUGGUCCCCGGACACGUCUCCUGCCUUCUUAAGGAGUCGUUCAUCACACCCCGCCGGAAGGCGAUUGAGCCUCAGGACCUGGUCCACUGGAGCAGCCGCGGGCCCUCCCAGGCUUCCUGUCCGCUGCGGCCGCACGGGAUCCACACCACGUGUGUCUUCUGCCCAGGGCGCUGCUGUCACACAGAGCGCGGGAGGCAGAUUUACACGGAACUUCCUGAAUUGCUUUCUUUCCUAUUUUAUGAAAUACCUCUCUAAAUGUCUACAUAUAGCUCUCUUGAGGGACGGAGGGAGAAAAAUAGCAAUUAAAGUCUUGUCAUCCGA